This 397-nucleotide ribosomal RNA is filed under the name uncultured bacterium. Its description in RNAcentral is "partial 16S ribosomal RNA". It matches the Rfam family "Bacterial small subunit ribosomal RNA", at positions 523 to 918 of the family's 1533-position model. The record is from RNAcentral.
AUACGUAGGUGGCAAGCGUUGUCCGGAAUUAUUGGGCGUAAAGCGCGCGCAGGUGGUUCCUUAAGUCUGAUGUGAAAGCCCCCGGCUCAACCGGGGAGGGUCAUUGGAAACUGGGGAACUUGAGUGCAGAAGAGGAUAGUGGAAUUCCAAGUGUAGCGGUGAAAUGCGUAGAGAUUUGGAGGAACACCAGUGGCGAAGGCGACUGUCUGGUCUGUAACUGACACUGAGGCGCGAAAGCGUGGGGAGCAAACAGGAUUAGAUACCCUGGUAGUCCACGCCGCAAACGAUGAGUGCUAAGUGUUGGGGGGUUUCCGCCCCUCAGUGCUGCAGCUAACGCAUUAAGCACUCCGCCUGGGGAGUACGGUCGCAAGACUGAAACUCAAAUGAAUUGACGGGG